Acanthosepion pharaonis is the source of this 99-nucleotide non-coding RNA. NCBI's taxonomy places the organism in Eukaryota, Metazoa, Mollusca, Cephalopoda, Sepiida, Sepiidae. The record is from the annotation of a GenBank genome assembly.
GUUGAAACAUUGGUUCUCGUACGAUCCGGGAAGUGAAGCAAAAUCGAUCCUGCUCAGUACCUAGAUGGAUGACCGCUUGGGAAUUCCUGUUGCUGUAAG